UCAGAUACAAACAAUCGUUACAACUUUCAACAAUGGAUCUCUUGGCUCUGGCAUCGAUGAAGAACGCAGCGAAAUGCGAUAAGUAGUGUGAAUUGCAGAAUUCAGUGAAUCAUCGAAUCUUUGAACGCACAUUGCGCCCCUUGGUAUUCCAUGGGGCAU
This 159-nucleotide ribosomal RNA is filed under the name Microsphaeropsis arundinis. Its description in RNAcentral is "5.8S ribosomal RNA". The stretch from base 22 to 159 matches the Rfam family "5.8S ribosomal RNA", at positions 1 to 138 of the family's 154-position model. From Rfam's summary of the family: 5.8S ribosomal RNA (5.8S rRNA) is a component of the large subunit of the eukaryotic ribosome. It is transcribed by RNA polymerase I as part of the 45S precursor that also contains 18S and 28S rRNA. The record is from RNAcentral. Lineage: Eukaryota; Fungi; Ascomycota; Dothideomycetes; Pleosporales; Didymellaceae.